GCUUCAAUUAUGAUGCUACAGGGGGAAGGUCAUUUGUAGCCAGUCCUCACAGGAGACAGGGAUUCAAAUGACCGAAUCCUCUGGAAGAGUGGAUCAUCCCAGAACAAGAUCUGCAUCACCACAGAAUCUACGCUGUUGUCUGGCUGAUGUCUCUUCCCAAGAAUGUUCGGCUUAGAAUAACACGAAAAUAAAUUUACUCUCUCUGAGGAUAAACCACCUAACCAUAAGAAAAGGGAAGGGAACUUAAUUACUGAGGUCUCUGUUUUCAAUCGAAACAUGGAAGGCCCAGAAAGCAGAGGGCACCAGACAGAUUUCCUGAGAGGAAAGAGCAUCGUGGGUCUCAGCACCCUCUCUCUGCAACCUCUCUCAGAAUCUCCUUCAGCUCAGCCCAAUAAACUAAACCCCUGGGAUCUCAUGUCAGCCAUUCUGACCCCAAGGCUGGAACUGCC
Molecule: long non-coding RNA, 449 nt
Organism: Panthera uncia (snow leopard)
Lineage: Eukaryota; Metazoa; Chordata; Mammalia; Carnivora; Felidae
Exons: 2
Source: RefSeq, a predicted model, not a curated record